AUUUAAAUAGCUUAUAAAGAGCAUAAUAUUGAAGAUAUUAAGGAGAUAAGAGUUAUCUUUAAAUA
Molecule: transfer RNA, 65 nt
Filed under: Staphylinidae sp. BMNH 1274145
Lineage: Eukaryota; Metazoa; Arthropoda; Insecta; Coleoptera; Staphylinidae
Description: tRNA-Phe
Source: RNAcentral